Molecule: long non-coding RNA, 1884 nt
Filed under: Canis lupus dingo (dingo)
Lineage: Eukaryota; Metazoa; Chordata; Mammalia; Carnivora; Canidae
Description: lncRNA (ENSCAFG00020007465.1)
Source: RNAcentral
AUGACCCAGGGCACCCCGGGGUCCGGGCUGGGCUGGGGCUGGGACACGGAGGAUGACUGGGACGGGCCCGUGCUCACGCUGCUGGCACUGGCCGUGGUGGCGGCCACCGCACUCGCCCUGCACUGGUUUGGCUCUGGGCGGGAGCAGGAGGCGUCAGGACCCGCACCCAUGACCCCCGCGGCCCAGCCUCAGGCGGGAAGGCCAGGGCCAGCCCUGCCCCUGACGUCCCAGGUCGGUGACGGCCGCGGCUCGGGGCAGGGGGAGUCGGAGCCGCCAGGAUGCAGCCAGGGGAGGCCGCCUGCAGCCGGGGCCUGGGACCAGACACUGCGGGAAGGGGGGGUUCUGGUCACCGCAGCAGCACCUCCACUCCAGACACCUGGCGAGGUGACCCGCGGAGGGGCCUCAGGAAAGCAGCAAGGUAAUGCCCCUCGAGAAGCCCCCCGAGGUAAAGGAAGGGAGCCUCUCAGGCCGGGUGCUGCCCUCCAGGGUAGGAGCAGCGGAGGGGGGUCCUCUGGCCCCCUCCUGAUACACUUCACCCCUCGGAGCCCCGGCAGGAGGACGGAAGGGCAAGUGGGGGCAGGUGGCGUCCCAGCCAAGGUGUCAACUGGCCAAGCCGCGGCCCACACCACAGAACAGGACCCCAACCCCCGGCGACAAGGUGCGGGGCUGCCUGGCUCCCUGGAGAGGGGCCACAGCUGCCGGCGGUGGUCGCCCCACCAGGGCUUGGGGGACAGAGACCCCUAUUUCCCCAAGGUGCACGCUGCUCGGCAGGGCGCUGUGCUGAGCGUGUGGGACACGGUGGAUGCCGCCGGCUCCCUGGGGCCUGCUCUUCCCCCGCAGGUGCCCCCUGCUCCCGCCACUCACACCGGGCCCCUGGGGGGGGCGGCAGCCACGGGGUGCAGGGACGGCGGCCUCCCAGCAGCCCCAGGCUCUGCUCCGCAGUCUCAGGGACCCCCUGCCUCCGAGGAAGCCUGGCCCUGGGCGCGGACAGAGCUCCUGGGCCCCGGGAGUGUCAGCCAGGCCCCAGGCUCCAGGGGCCCGAGGCCAGCAGGGUUACGGGGUGGACACCCACUUCUGCCUCAGGGACAGGGGACUCCGGAUGCCACCGAGGAGGGCAAGGUGGGGGCUCGGGGCUCCGGACACGGCUCCUUCUCUGGCCCAGGCCUGGGGGUGCAGAGCGGCGGGUGGGAGGCAGGGGGUCCCCCCACUCACGAGCCCCCGGCCCUGCCACCCUCACCUUCCCCAACUCCUCCGACCUCCUCUCCCUCAGACUCUUUGUCCCUGAGAGUUGGCCAGUGUCCUGCCGAGGAUGAAACUGCCGGUGUAGGGGCAGCCCUAGCCCAAACCCCAACCCCAGUCCCAGCUGCAGCCCCAGCCCCAGCCCCAACCUCAUCCCCAACCCCAAACCCAGUCCCAGCCCCAACCCCAUGCGUAGCCCCAACCUCAGCUGCAGCCCCAGCGCCAAACUCAUCCCCAACCCUAACCCCAGCCCCAGUCCUAACCCCAGGCCCAGCCGAGGCCCCCCCAUCCCUUGCCCCCAAUAGUGGGUCGGGGCCGACGCCCCAGGCGCACAGGGUGGCUCUCUGCAAGGACAAGCAGGAGGGGCAGCUCUCAAGCAGCUGGGAAAACCUUAUUUCCAUGGUUCUUAGGAGUCACCCUUUCCCCAGGCAGGAGAGACACCAAGGGAGGGCCCCAAGGGCAGCUCCCCAGGGCCCCAGGGAUCCCAGCCCUGGCAAGGCCCCUGAGGACAGAGAGUGUUCUGCCCCGGAAGGGGCGGCCCCCAGCCCGGUGGUCACGGAUGGCUCCUCAGAUGUGGGCGUCGGGGGUGCGGGGGGCGCGGGGGUUGCAGGGAGCCCUGAGCCCGACGCCAGCAGGGCGGUGUUC